Triticum aestivum (bread wheat) is the source of this 115-nucleotide non-coding RNA. Lineage: Eukaryota; Viridiplantae; Streptophyta; Magnoliopsida; Poales; Poaceae. The record is from Rfam.
AAACUACUCCCUCCGUUGGGAAUUACUUGUCGCAGAAAUCGAUGCAUCUAGACGUAUUUUAGUUCUAGAUACAUCCAUUUCUGAGACGAGUAAUUCCGAACGGAGGGAGUAGGUU